This is a non-coding RNA of Pseudothermotoga thermarum DSM 5069, 30 nucleotides long. Lineage: Bacteria; Thermotogati; Thermotogota; Thermotogae; Thermotogales; Thermotogaceae. The record is from Rfam.
GUUUCCAUUCCUUAUAGGUAGGGUUCAAAC